CGGCGGCGGCGCGGCGCAGGCACCGGCCCGGGGAGCGGCAUCAUGAGUGGAUCACAGAACAAUGACAAAAGACAAUUUCUGCUGGAGCGACUGCUGGAUGCAGUGAAACAGUGCCAGAUCCGCUUUGGAGGGAGAAAGGAGAUCGCCUCGGAUUCAGACAGCAGCUCCAUGAUCCUUUGUGUUAACGUCAUUGGUUAAGCAGCCCGUUCUACCCAUCUGACUGAAGUGCUACCGUUAUUAUAGAUUAAAUGCUUCCAUAUGUAUUAGGAUUUUUUUUGGGGGGGGACUUUCUUUUUUUUUGAGAUGAAGUCUUGCUCUUGUCAUCUGGGCGGGAGUGCAAUGGCACGAUCUUGGCUCACUGCAACCCCCGCGUACCGGGUGCUAGUGAAUCUCCUGCCUCAGCCUUCCAAGUAGCUGGGAUUACAGGCACCUGCCACCACGCCUGGCCUGUACCCCAGAACAAGGGGUGUCAAGUCCUACCUGCAGUUGUUACUGGAAUUGUAUUAAGUUUAUACAUUACAUUGGGAAGAACUGACAUUUUGAGUUUAAUAAGUCUUCCCAUUCAGGAAAAUGGUGUUUCUAUUUAUCUAUUUGUUUGAUCUUUA
RNAcentral lists this long non-coding RNA (605 nucleotides) under Rhinopithecus roxellana (golden snub-nosed monkey). RNAcentral's name for it is "lncRNA (ENSRROG00000045821.1)". Lineage: Eukaryota; Metazoa; Chordata; Mammalia; Primates; Cercopithecidae. The record is from RNAcentral.